This 325-nucleotide unclassified non-coding RNA is filed under the name soil metagenome. RNAcentral describes it as "partial contains 5.8S ribosomal RNA, internal transcribed spacer 2, and large subunit ribosomal RNA". The stretch from base 1 to 120 matches the Rfam family "5.8S ribosomal RNA", at positions 35 to 154 of the family's 154-position model. The record is from RNAcentral.
GAUGAAGAACGAAGCGAAAUGCGAUAAGUAAUGCGAAUUGCAGAAUUCAGUGAGUCAUCGAAUCUUUGAACGCACAUUGCGCCCUGUGGUAUUCCGCAGGGCAUGCCUGUUCGAGCGUCAUUUCAACCCUCAAGCCCCGCUUGGUGUUGGGCCCCGCCCGCCGUGGCCGGCCCUAAAGACAGUGGCGGCGCCGCCUGGCCCUCAGCGUAGUACAGCUCUCGCUCCAGGGUCCGGCGGCCGCCUGCCAGAACCCCCCCAACUCUGUGGUUGACCUCGGAUCAGGCAGGGAUACCCGCUGAACUUAAGCAUAUCAAUAAGCGGAGGA